RNAcentral lists this ribosomal RNA (800 nucleotides) under uncultured bacterium. RNAcentral's name for it is "bacterial SSU rRNA". It matches the Rfam family "Bacterial small subunit ribosomal RNA", at positions 8 to 799 of the family's 1533-position model. The record is from RNAcentral.
AGAGUUUGAUCCUGGCUCAGGAUGAACGCUAGCGGCAGGCUUAAUACAUGCAAGUCGUGGGGCAGCAUGAGUGUAGCAAUACAUUUGAUGGCGACCGGCAAACGGGUGCGGAACACGUACACAACCUUCCUUUAAGUGGAGAAUAGCCCAGGGAAACUUGGAUUAAUACUCCGUAACAUAUAGAAGUGGCAUCACUUUUAUAUUAUAGCUCCGGCGCUUAGAGAUGGGUGUGCGGCUGAUUAGGUAGUUGGCGGGGUAACGGCCCACCAAGCCUACGAUCAGUAACUGGUGUGAGAGCACGACCAGUCACACGGGCACUGAGACACGGGCCCGACUCCUACGGGAGGCAGCAGUAAGGAAUAUUGGUCAAUGGACGCAAGUCUGAACCAGCCAUGCCGCGUGGAGGAUGAAGGUCCUCUGGAUUGUAAACUUCUUUUAUCUGGGAAGAAAAAGGACUUUUCUAAGUCAACUGACGGUACCAGAUGAAUAAGCACCGGCUAACUCCGUGCCAGCAGCCGCGGUAAUACGGAGGGUGCAAGCGUUAUCCGGAUUCACUGGGUUUAAAGGGUGCGUAGGUGGGCAGGUAAGUCAGUGGUGAAAUCUCCGGGCUUAACCCGGAAACUGCCAUUGAUACUAUCUGUCUUGAAUACCCUGGAGGUGAGCGGAAUAUGUCAUGUAGCGGUGAAAUGCUUAGAUAUGACAUAGAACACCCAUUGCGAAGGCAGCUCACUACAGGAAUAUUGACACUGAGGCACGAAAGCGUGGGGAUCAAACAGGAUUAGAUACCCUGGUAGUCCACG